UUGGAUAAUUACAAAAUAUAUCAAGUUUAGGGAUGACAAAAUAACCCAGAAAAUCUGGGUUGAGUUUAACCCAUACCGCAUUUAAAUAAUAUGCAGAUUCGAUAUUGAUUUUUUGAACCCGGACAUAUCUAGGUACAGGUCUAGUUUUAGCUGAACCCGUAUAUUCGGAACCCGGACUCAGAUACAUUUAUUUUUAAUAUAAAUAUAAAAAAUAAAAAAAUCAAUGGAAAAAGAACACACAAACCCUAGUUUACAUAUUUUAGGCUUUUAGCUUAAGACCGCCACCAUUUCCAUUCCUUUUCAUCUCCCAAAUUCAUCAAUUCAAAUUAUCAUCAUUAUCAAAUUGUCAUCAAUCAUCAUCAAAGGCUUGAAUCUCUCAGUAACUCCUAAACCCAUUCACGGUCACAGCUGGCGGCAGACAGUCACGCACACAAAGUGACGAUUUGGCAUUCAUGGACGUAGACGAAGUAGUGGCCAGCGGCACGAAUUCACUGGAUUUUCAUUCCCCGUCGCCAUUUGUGUUCUAUUUUGCUAUCAUUUUAAUUGUUGUUUGAUGAUGACAAGCUGACAAUCACAAAAUCUGGGUUUUGUUUUUCACUUUUGCUUCACUGUUUUGUUAUAUUAUUUUAUCAAUUUUUUUCUCUUUGAUUUGAAUAUUACUCAUAUUUUGAUAUUGAAGCAAUAAGUGAUUGAAAAAAGUUGCAAAGUUGGAACAUCAGUGCCCUACCUUUGGUUUUCUACUCGAAAACAAGUCCAUAAAUGGUGCCCAUCUGGGUUCAAAACCCAGAUUUUUGCGGGUUGAACCCCGUCCACACUCAGAGUCUAAAAAUUCUGGUUUAUUUUCAGGUCUGGUGUAAUAAAUUCUCGUAUGGGUCUAGAACCGAAAUGGACGAACCCAAACACAGACCCGGACCCAAAUUUUGCCAUGCCUAAUCAAGUUUGGUUUCAUUUUAUUUUUAUAUAAAUAAAUAUUUGGUGACCUUACCAUAAUUGAUGAUAUUGUUUAAUGCCCCCAUUAAUAUUAAAUUGAGGUGAAUUUGUAAAAAUAAAUAAAAAGAUUGUCUGUCCCCAG
Molecule: long non-coding RNA, 1072 nt
Filed under: Citrus maxima (pomelo)
Lineage: Eukaryota; Viridiplantae; Streptophyta; Magnoliopsida; Sapindales; Rutaceae
Description: long non-coding RNA (CMAX_LNC003280)
Source: RNAcentral